RNAcentral lists this ribosomal RNA (497 nucleotides) under uncultured bacterium. RNAcentral describes it as "partial 16S ribosomal RNA". It matches the Rfam family "Bacterial small subunit ribosomal RNA", at positions 28 to 507 of the family's 1533-position model. The record is from RNAcentral.
GAUGAACGCUGGCGGCGUGCCUAAUACAUGCAAGUCGAGCGAACAGAUGAGGAGCUUGCUCCUCUGACGUUAGCGGCGGACGGGUGAGUAACACGUGGAUAACCUACCUAUAAGACUGGGAUAACUUCGGGAAACCGGAGCUAAUACCGGAUAAUAUAUUGAACCGCAUGGUUCAAUAGUGAAAGACGGUUUUGCUGUCACUUAUAGAUGGAUCCGCGCCGCAUUAGCUAGUUGGUAAGGUAACGGCUUACCAAGGCAACGAUGCGUAGCCGACCUGAGAGGGUGAUCGGCCACACUGGAACUGAGACACGGUCCAGACUCCUACGGGAGGCAGCAGGAGGGAAUCUUCCGCAAAGGGCGAAAGCCUGACGGAGCAACGCCGCGUGAGUGAUGAAGGUCUUCGGAUCGUAAAACUCUGUUAUUAGGGAAGAACAAAUGUGUAAGUAACUAUGCACGUCUUGACGGUACCUAAUCAGAAAGCCACGGCUAACUACGUG